RNAcentral lists this long non-coding RNA (250 nucleotides) under Hordeum vulgare. Its description in RNAcentral is "long non-coding RNA (HVUL_LNC012228)". Lineage: Eukaryota; Viridiplantae; Streptophyta; Magnoliopsida; Poales; Poaceae. The record is from RNAcentral.
UUGCAUAUUUGGAGAGGAGCAUCCUAACGAUAGCCCCGGAACCUAGGCAUCGCGGAUAGCAGUCGAGCGUGAUAGGAAUUAUCCAGGUUAGUUGUUCUUGUGGGAAAUGGAGUCCCAUAGACGUUGGAUAUCGACAAACCGCUUUCGCCAUCAACCACUAGAGACCUUGUGUACUCCAUUGACCAUCAUUGUCUUGUACGCUAGUAUUUUGUAUUUGCUUGGAUAUUUGUACCAAGGAAGUAUGCACCAG